Molecule: ribosomal RNA, 508 nt
Filed under: Pichia kudriavzevii
Lineage: Eukaryota; Fungi; Ascomycota; Pichiomycetes; Pichiales; Pichiaceae
Description: LSU rRNA
Rfam family: Eukaryotic large subunit ribosomal RNA
Source: RNAcentral
AGCGGCGAAGUCAAGCGGCAAGAGCUCAGAUUUGAAAUCGUGCUUUGCGGCACGAGUUGUAGAUUGCAGGUUGGAGUCUGUGUGGAAGGCGGUGUCCAAGUCCCUUGGAACAGGGCGCCCAGGAGGGUGAGAGCCCCGUGGGAUGCCGGCGGAAGCAGUGAGGCCCUUCUGACGAGUCGAGUUGUUUGGGAAUGCAGCUCCAAGCGGGUGGUAAAUUCCAUCUAAGGCUAAAUACUGGCGAGAGACCGAUAGCGAACAAGUACUGUGAAGGAAAGAUGAAAAGCACUUUGAAAAGAGAGUGAAACAGCACGUGAAAUUGUUGAAAGGGAAGGGUAUUGCGCCCGACAUGGGGAUUGCGCACCGCUGCCUCUCGUGGGCGGCGCUCUGGGCUUUCCCUGGGCCAGCAUCGGUUCUUGCUGCAGGAGAAGGGGUUCUGGAACGUGGCUCUUCGGAGUGUUAUAGCCAGGGCCAGAUGCUGCGUGCGGGGACCGAGGACUGCGGCCGUGUA